GUCUUUUUGAUAAUAAUUUAAAGUCUAACCUGCCCAAUGAGGAGUUGAAUGGCCGCGGUAAUUUGACCGUGCAAAGGUAGCAUAAUCAUUAGUUUUUUAAUUGAAAGCUGGAAUGAAUGGUUGGACGAGAAAGUAGCUGUCUCUGUUUAAUUUAUAUUAGAAUUUUACUUUUAAGUAAAAAGGCUUAAAUUUUUUUAAAAGACGAGAAGACCCUAUAGAAUUUUAUAUUUUUUAUUAUUUAUGAUUAUAGGGAUUUCUUAGUUUAAAUAGUAAAAAAUAAUUGGUUGGGGUGAUAGAAAAAUUUAAUAAACUUUUUUUUUAUUUUAUCAUUAAUAUAUGAUUAAUUGAUCCAUUGAAGUAUGAUUAAAAGAUAAAAUUACCUUAGGGAUAACAGCGUAAUUUUUUUUGAGAGUUCUUAUCGAAAAAAGAGUUUGCGACCUCGAUGUUGGAUUAAAAUAAAUUUGUGGUGUAGGGGCUACAUAAUUAGGUCUGUUCGACCUUUAAAAUUUUACAUGAUCUGAGU
RNAcentral lists this ribosomal RNA (523 nucleotides) under Pelidnota belti. RNAcentral describes it as "partial 16S ribosomal RNA". It matches the Rfam family "Bacterial large subunit ribosomal RNA", at positions 1819 to 2610 of the family's 2925-position model. Lineage: Eukaryota; Metazoa; Arthropoda; Insecta; Coleoptera; Scarabaeidae. The record is from RNAcentral.